Molecule: long non-coding RNA, 3192 nt
Organism: Halichondria panicea
Lineage: Eukaryota; Metazoa; Porifera; Demospongiae; Suberitida; Halichondriidae
Exons: 6
Source: RefSeq, a predicted model, not a curated record
UAUGGUGUGUGCUUUGAAUAGUCUCUAAAUGAAUGUCAGCAAAACGACUCUAAUAUGAAAAGUAAGAUCAGAUAAACUUUCUAGACAUAAGUACGUAUACCUCUCACCUAAUUUCUGAAUGAAAGGGUUGUUAAUUCGCUGGAGACCAAAUCAGCAAGAAGAUACCCAUGAGUUUUUGCUGGGGAUGUUUGAACACAUCAAGCUCUUACAGUUUAUAGUGACAAUUAAAAGAACAGAAUGGCAGUGUGCAGCAUGCCCAAGAGUUACGACUAAGCUAGUGUGAUACUUGUUUGGAUUGGCACCAUUAGUAAACAAGUGUUACCUAUCUCUAUAAAUCUAUCAAUGGCAAGCCCCACGUACCUCCCCCUAGGUGCCAUAAUUGCCAUAAUGAUGAGAAGUUGAAUUCCUACUGCUUACCGGCUUUUACACAUGUAGGUCAUGUGUUCACAUAGACGAGUGAGAAGGAUACAGCAAGCUUAAGCGCUUGGAGACAGAUUGCUUACUACAGCUUGCCAUCGGCAUAUAAUGCUGAAAAAUCAUAUUGAAUGAAUUGAAACAGUCACCCAGCCAAGCAGUCACCCAGCCAAGGGCCAGAGCAAGGGAUCACUUCAGAGUGUGGCAAAGAAAGAUGCACCCCUUAGUAACAGUAACAGUUCUCUUCAAGCUACCUUGUAGUUCUAUCUGAACAGUCAAAGAGUCAACCAGCCAAGAGAUUACUUUAGAGCUGUUAAUAGCUGUGAAGGAAUGCUGGACACCGGAAAGGUGGGAGUCCAUAGGCAGGCCAGGAGUGGAACUGCUUACAAUAUGAUGCCCUGUGCACCAUGUGGCUGAGCCAUCCUUAACACCAGUGAGCAGCUGAAGCGUUACUCAGAAGAAGACCCAGGUCAAAAUUGGACAUACUGAGACCUUUGAACCUUUGACAGCUGAAAGAGUGGAAACACAACAAAUGAAGCAAAAGCAAAAGCAAAAACACGAUGCUCAUGCGCACGAGAGAUUGCUUUGCGAAGGUGACCCCGUGCUCGUGAGGAACUAUGCUCGUGAGGAACUACCUCCAAGGGGACAAAUGGUUAGCAGGUACGAUUGCCAAGAAGACAGGGCCGGUUUCGUACGCGGUGACAAUGAGUAAUCGUAGAUACCACCAAGACCAGGUUCGAAAACAGGUUCGAAAAUUGCACACUUACCUGAUUCCGACACUGAUUCACUGAGUAGUGUUUCAGACACUGAAUUUGAAUCAUUUGCUUAGUCUGAUUUUUAAUUAAUAAAUUUUUUUGUUAUUUUGACAUGUGACAUGAUAAUAAUUAAUGUUAUAUCAAACGGACAUCUUUGUUAAAUCACGCAUAGGUAGUCCCAGUGAAUGCAAUGGGCUGACUAGUUCAGGAGCAACACAAUUAUCAUAAAAUGAGGUUAGCUUUGGUAGCAGUUUGUCUCUCCAGUAGGCCUCAUCGAAUGCAAUGUGUUGAACACUAAUCUACAAAAUCACACCAACUGCGCUCUCCUAAAGACAUUUGACCCUGCACUUGGGCAUGACUUGUUUUGAGUUGUAAACUUUUCUCCGAGUUCAAGGUACAGUAGAAUCCUUCAAUAUGACAAGCUUCAGGAGUAGGGACAUUUUACCUCUAAAAAUCCAUACGGUUCUAGAGUAUUAGAGGGGUUGUAUACUGCUCCAUCUGGUGAUGCACCUAAAAAGCCCCCGAUGAGCUUACAAUCAAUCUUGAUUACACUUUUGGUUCUGGUAGGAUAUGUAUUCCUGAAUCGCUAUUUUCUCGUUAGUUAGGCCGUAUGCGGUAGCUGGAGUAGAAAAGGUUCUUGGCUGUAUAAUGCGCAAAACCAAGUUAUCAGGAGGUCCAAACAAGGAGGCAGUUAAGCGAAACCUUCUCACAGAAAACCACAAUGGGGAAUUUGCCUGCUCACAAGUGUUCCUUUCCAUUUCACGGCACAUCUGUGUCAUUUCAUUUCAAGUGUCUUCUUAAAUGCCAUUACAGUAGCUCUUAGGUCACUAUCACCUGGAAGAUUCUCAUUACAAGGCUGUUGGGAUAUUUCACAUCGAAAUUGUUUAUCAAAUAAAAGUGAUAUGCACAGCUGUUCUCCUCGCAUUUUUUCCAACAGAGCCGAGAGUUGACUUGGCCCCGAUACUUUUGUGGCCUAGGAUCGAAAUCCUCCACAGAAAUCGAUUUCCUUGCUUUGAGUAUUCAUGCUUUUUGAAACAAGCACUUUUCCGAGGUGGUUUCCACUGGCAUGGGAGGGAUGUACAUGGUACAGGGUCAUUCUCAACUACACUCCCUCUGGAAGCGAGACUUGGAGCAUUCGGAUUAGUGCAUGCAGCAAAGCUGAUACAUGCGUACAGCUAGCUGAUUGUCUGAAGGGGGCUCAACUUUGACAAAUGCCAAUAGACUUAUAACUCACCCUGCAGGAAGUGGCACAUUCCUUCUCGGCGAAGCAAAAUGUAUGUGUUGUACACUCCAACUUUCAUGGACGGCUUUGUCUUACACUUGACAUGGGCCCAAUCAGGAUUUUUGGUGUUUACACAAAUUUCUUCCAAUCUACCAGAAGCCCAGUAAGUGUAGCCUCGAGUCAAUGCUCGAAAAGCACCAUGUUCACCAACACAUUCCCGUUGAAGAAAAAGUAGACGUGGGCCUAGAUUUGCCUACACCACAUGUACAAGAGCCUAAGGACUCAACGCCUGACCCUGUUGAGACCUAAGACGUUCCCUCGCCGGGAACGGAAACCGGUUAAACGGUUCGAACCCACAUGGAACUGGUAACUAUGUAUGUAUAAUGUUAUACACCUUCUUGUAGAGUUGUUGUUGUUUUUUGUUUGUUUUUGUGCUAGGGGGGAGGAGUGUAGUAGAUUACGUCAUAUAGUAGAUUACUCAUUCUAGACUAGGUUUUUGUAAUACUUUGUGCCACGUGUUCUGUUCAGUUCUGCUAUUGUGAUUACUUAUUGAUCGUGACACCACACUAUGAGUUCUACGUUGAUGUCCAGCCUCCGCAAGCAUCCAGUAGUGAUGUCACGACUAAUUGCAUUGCAUUCCAUUGAACGUGUAUGCAACUGGCCUAUUAUGUCUAAGAAAAUGGGGAGGCCUUCUUAGAGCUAACAUUAGAGGAUGUACUAACCCUAAACCUGAUCAAGACUGAACUUGUUGAUUUUAAUUUUAUUAACACAGCACAAAUAUUAACACAGCGUUUAACACUG